RNAcentral lists this unclassified non-coding RNA (1772 nucleotides) under Drosophila yakuba. Its description in RNAcentral is "GE11682". Lineage: Eukaryota; Metazoa; Arthropoda; Insecta; Diptera; Drosophilidae. The record is from RNAcentral.
AUUUCUCGUUUGGCUGUUGCCCCGAAUAGACGGUUAGCGGAAGUUUGAGUUUGAGUUUAACUAAAAUCUAUAAAAGUUGAAAUAUCUAGAGAAACGGAAAAUACAUCAGAACCGAAAGCAAUUUGUCUUGUGUGUGCAAGUUGAUGGAUAAAAGAAUUGAAAAGUGCUGACAGUGCUACCCGGAAAUUGGAACACCAAAACGUCAACAUAAUUACGCGGCAAUAAUUUUCAAAAACCCAAAAAGAUCAUCAGAAAUCAAAUUGGUCCCGUGUGACAUAGAUACAGAUUGCGGGUCGAUCGAUCGAAAAGUGCUGCCUAUUGGAUACCCAUAUUCGAAUACCGAUCGUUGGGAAGUGCACUUCGCAUACAGGAAAACAGCAUUAUGAUGUCCAGAAGAGCUCUUCUAAUUGCCGGACUCCUACUGAUCGUGUGCAGUGCCGCGGUGUUCUCCUACCCACAACUCUCACUUGACGAUGACCAAAUGCAGGCCGAUGAUGACUUCGACUACGGAGGAGAGGACCAGAGUGCCCCCAGUCCGCAGACGAAGUCCUCCAAUCCCGUGACCAGCGACAAGAUCAACAAGACCCUCAGUGUGACGGGCAUCCGUGGCGAGGAUGUGGUGCUCAAGUGCGACGUGGGCAUCGAUCUGCACAGCUCAGACGACGUGGUGGUGCUGUGGUUCUUCGGGGAUAAUGUCAUUUCCAAUGGCAAGAACCUGGUGCAGCCCAACUUCAAACUAGACGCCAACUACGACCUGACCAUCCUGAAGGCAAGUCCCCAGGUGGCUGGCAGCUAUCUCUGCAAGGUGCUGCCCUCCGGAUCCGUGGUCAACACGAAGGUCUCCAUUGCCGAGCAUUCCCUGGACGCCAUUGCACCGGAAAGCUCCACAUCGGCGGCGGCAUCUGCGAGCAGUUUUCUGGGAUGCACAGUUGUGGGAUCGAUGGCGUUGCUCCUCCUGGGGAUGGGCACACAUUAGCUUAGUUUAGUAUUACGCUGGUGGAACAUUGCCACCUCUUCUACACUCUCCACUCUACUCACAGGAAAUGAGCAUUUGAAGUCUUUGUUGAUUGUAAAUUUUUUGUAUUUGUAAAGACACAAAAUCAACUUUAUUUAUUAAAUAAAAAAGGAACCAAAGUAAACAUAGCCGCAACGAUCGCUUACUGCCUCUAAAAAAAAUGCACACGUUAAAUCCGUUUAGUUUAUUUUAUUUGCUUACUUAUCGCGGACUCAACGAAAAUUACAAUAUUCAUGUCGGCAUUCGAAAUCAGGUCCUCGUCAAAAAACUUUGCUUAUGGAACUUUAUUUUUGUGGCGUUUUGAUUUGAUUUAGCGAGCAAUCAGUUGCGUUUGAUUGCUUCGAUUGGCACGUUUAUUGAUCAGCUCUAAUGUUAUGAUUCUUAAAUAAAACAUUUAUAAAAUAUAUAUAUAUGUAUAUAUAUUCCCACACUCACAAUUGGAUUACUCAUACGUACAGUGUACAUGGUCAGCAUGUUAUGGCGCUAUUCCUCAGGUAUGGUAGCAGAAUCAAGGACAUGUGUAAAGCCAAACCCGAUCAUUAACUACUGUUAAUACAGUAGACGGUACACAGUGUAUAUUAUAUAUUAUAUGCUAUAUGUAUAUGGCUCCCAUGGACUUAUUCAGUAUCGCCUAGGCAUAGGUACAUAUGCGUUCUUGCGUUUUGAUUUGUAUAUUUUGAAUCGUUCUGUUCCAUUGAGUGUUGAUGUGGCGUAGUUUCGUAAAAAUAAGUUUCAUAUGUAUGUUGUGUGGUAGGUA